Molecule: transfer RNA, 72 nt
Organism: Camelus ferus (Wild Bactrian camel)
Lineage: Eukaryota; Metazoa; Chordata; Mammalia; Artiodactyla; Camelidae
Rfam family: tRNA
About the family: Transfer RNA (tRNA) molecules are approximately 80 nucleotides in length. Their secondary structure includes four short double-helical elements and three loops (D, anti-codon, and T loops).
Source: Rfam
AGCAGUAUAGCUCAGUGGGAGAGUGCAUGCCUAGCAUGCACAAGGUCCUGGGUUCAAUCCCCAGUACUUCUU